Oncorhynchus nerka (sockeye salmon) is the source of this 1635-nucleotide long non-coding RNA. RefSeq lists it as uncharacterized. The transcript has 3 exons. NCBI's taxonomy places the organism in Eukaryota, Metazoa, Chordata, Actinopteri, Salmoniformes, Salmonidae. The record is from RefSeq and is a predicted model, not a curated record.
GCCCACCCCCAGCACCAGGUGUGGCCACUAGCCUAUAUGAAGGCCCAAAAUUGUGUGUUCCUUUCUGCUCUGACAAUGGCAUGCCCAUUCGUGCGAGAUGUGGUGGAUGAAGAAGCACUUGUGCUGAGGAGAGCCUUCAGGCGAGAAAGGGUCUUCAGGGACCGGUUGGACCCACUGGCCUUCCCUGAUGACCAUCUAUAUGAAAGAUACAGGUUUUCUGCAGAUGGCAUCAGGUAUCUAUGCAGACUACUGGGUCCCAGGAUUAAGCACCGCACUGCACGGAGCCAUGCACUGAGUGUGGAGCAAAUGGUUUGUGUGGCCUUGCGCUUUUUUGCUAGUGGAGCCUUCCUGUACUCAGUGGGGGAUGCUGAACAAGGCCACAAUUUGCCGCACAAUAAGGAGUGUGUGUCUGGCUAUCAAAGCAUUAGCAGAUGUCUUCAUCUCCUUCCCUGGCCACAGAAGACUCUGUGACAUCAAAGAGGAGUUCUAUAGGAUUGCAGAUGGUCUGCAAUGCUGACUGUGUGAUCAGCAAUGUUGUGGCAAAAUGGCCUGGCUCAGUCCAUGACUCCAGAAUCUUUCGGGCCUCUGAAAUCUAUCAGUGCCUAUCACAAGGUGAAUUCUCUGGUGUGUUGCUGGGAGACAGGGGUAUGGCUGCCAGCCUUUUCUCCUGACACCUUUCACAGACCCCCAGGAAGCACAGCAGGCCUACAACCAUGCCCAUGCCAGGACCAGGGCCAGAGUUGAAAUGACCUUUGGCCUCCUGAAGGCACGCUUUCACUGCCUUCACAAAUUAAGGGUCAGCCCUGUUAGGGCAUGUGAUAUUACUGUGGCUUGUGCUGUCCUCCACAAUGUGGCCUGCCUGAGGAAGGAGAGGGCCCCCAGAGUGCCACCAGCCAUGGACUGGGACAAUCCGGCAAUCUUCCCUGAUGACGACAGUGGUCGGCUGCUGGAGGGACCAAUAUGUGUUGAAUUAUUUUAGUUAGUAUGUGUGCUUUCAAUUUUGGUUAAAUAUGUCCUGCGGUGGCAGAGGAAUUUGGGUUUUUUUGGGUUCGUUUUUGACGAAUUUGGCCUCUUAUGAUGUUUGUGCGGUAUACUGUGUGUAAUACAAGGCUGCAGGGAGGCUACUGCAUCCAUUCAUUUGUCUGUUCAGUUGAUGUGUAUGGAUUUGUCCUGCAUUUAUUUUAGUGUGCAGACAUGCAGGGUGUGUUAUAUACAGACCUUUGAAUGUGUAUGUAUCAUUUUGUAUAAUAUGCUUGGAUUCUGUGCUUUCCAUCUUGUAGAGUCACUGUGACUUCAGUUUCGAAAGGAGCUGAUGGUUUACCUGCUUUGUUUUGUCCUUAUUCAAUAAAGGAACAUAAUGUUACACAUUGUGUUUUUAUAUUCAUAUGGAAUGUGUCUUUGUUUAUAUGACAGAGUACUAGGGCCACACUGAAGAAAAAGGAUAAAGUCAUACAUUUAUGAGGCUGGUUCUUUCUGCAGAAAAGCUACAUAUUGUUUUUACAGUUUUGAUACUUAUGACAAUGUGAUACUUAAUAUUCUGGCACAUCAGCAUGUCUUUGUUUAUGAAACCAUACUGAAGUACAAUUUCACGAAAUGCCCCACAUCUGUCCUCCUUUAAAACAACUGGUUACAAUA